Molecule: ribosomal RNA, 483 nt
Filed under: uncultured cyanobacterium
Lineage: Bacteria; Bacillati; Cyanobacteriota
Description: bacterial SSU rRNA
Rfam family: Bacterial small subunit ribosomal RNA
Source: RNAcentral
GCGUGAGAAUCUGCCCUCAGGAGGGGGAUAACGGCUGGAAACGGCCGCUAAUACCCCAUAUGCCGCGAGGUGAAAUGAAUUUCGCCUGAGGAUGAGCUCGCGUCUGAUUAGCUAGUUGGUGGGGUAAAGGCCUACCAAGGCAUCGAUCAGUAGCUGGUCUGAGAGGAUGAUCAGCCACACUGGGACUGAGACACGGCCCAGACUCCUACGGGAGGCAGCAGUGGGGAAUUUUCCGCAAUGGGCGAAAGCCUGACGGAGCAACGCCGCGUGAGGGAUGAAGGCCUCUGGGCUGUAAACCUCUUUUAUCAAGGAAGAAGAUCUGACGGUACUUGAUGAAUAAGCCACGGCUAAUUCCGUGCCAGCAGCCGCGGUAAUACGGGAGUGGCAAGCGUUAUCCGGAAUUAUUGGGCGUAAAGCGUCCGCAGGCGGUCUUGUAAGUCUGUCGUUAAAGCGUGGAGCUUAACUCCAUUUCAGCGAUGGAAA